RNAcentral lists this ribosomal RNA (46 nucleotides) under Chlorella sorokiniana. Its description in RNAcentral is "partial LSU rRNA". RNAcentral also lists the same sequence under 1 other name. Lineage: Eukaryota; Viridiplantae; Chlorophyta; Trebouxiophyceae; Chlorellales; Chlorellaceae. The record is from RNAcentral.
CGACCUGAGCUCAGGCAAGAUUACCCGCUGAACUUAAGCAUAUCAA